RNAcentral lists this ribosomal RNA (439 nucleotides) under uncultured bacterium. RNAcentral's name for it is "partial 16S ribosomal RNA". It matches the Rfam family "Bacterial small subunit ribosomal RNA", at positions 339 to 795 of the family's 1533-position model. The record is from RNAcentral.
CUACGGGAGGCUGCAGUGAGGAAUAUUGCACAAUGGGGGGAACCCUGAUGCAGCAACGCCGCGUGGAGGAUGACGCAUUUCGGUGUGUAAACUCCUUUUAUAUGUCAAGAAAAUGACGGUAGCAUAUGAAUAAGCACCGGCUAACUCCGUGCCAGCAGCCGCGGUAAUACGGAGGGUGCAAGCGUUACUCGGAAUCACUGGGCGUAAAGGGCGCGUAGGCGGGUUGGAAAGUCAGGUGUGAAAUCCUACAGCUUAACUGUAGAACUGCACUUGAAACUUCUAAUCUAGAGUAUGGGAGGGGGAGAUGGAAUUAGUGGUGUAGGGGUAACAUCCGUAGAUAUCACUAGGAAUACCUAAAGCGAAGGCGAUCUCCUGGAACAUUACUGACGCUAAGGCGUGAAAGCGUGGGGAGCAAACAGGAUUAGAUACCCGGGUAGUC